This 449-nucleotide ribosomal RNA is filed under the name uncultured bacterium. Its description in RNAcentral is "partial 16S ribosomal RNA". It matches the Rfam family "Bacterial small subunit ribosomal RNA", at positions 29 to 523 of the family's 1533-position model. The record is from RNAcentral.
AACGAACGCUGGCGGCAUGCCUAACACAUGCAAGUCGAACGAGAUCUUCGGGUCUAGUGGCGCACGGGUGCGUAACGCGUGGGAAUCUGCCCUUUGGUUCGGAAUAACAGUUGGAAACGACUGCUGAUACCGGAUGAUGACGAAAGUCCAAAGAUUUAUCGCCAGAGGAUGAGCCCGCGUAGGAUUAGCUAGUUGGUGUGGUAAAGGCGCACCAAGGCGACGAUCCUUAGCUGGUCUGAGAGGAUGAUCAGCCACACUGGGACUGAGACACGGCCCAGACUCCUACGGGAGGCAGCAGUGGGGAAUAUUGGACAAUGGGCGAAAGCCUGAUCCAGCAAUGCCGCGUGAGUGAUGAAGGCCUUAGGGUUGUAAGGCUCUUUUACCCGGGAUGAUAAUGACAGUACCGGGAGAAUAAGCUCCGGCUAACUCCGUGCCAGCCGCCGCGGUAA